Molecule: ribosomal RNA, 436 nt
Filed under: uncultured bacterium
Lineage: Bacteria
Description: bacterial SSU rRNA
Rfam family: Bacterial small subunit ribosomal RNA
Source: RNAcentral
AAUCAACGCUGGCGGCGUGCCUCAGACAUGCAAGUCGAACGCGAAAUUUCCCUUCGGGGAGAAAGUAGAGUGGCGCACGGGUGAGUAACACGUAGGUAAUUUGCCUUUGGGUGGGGAAUAACUCAGGGAAACUUGAGCUAAUACCGCAUAAUGCAGCGGCUCGACAUCGAGACAGUUGUUAAAGCGGGGGAUUGGAGCAAUCCGACCUCGCGCCUAAAGAGAAGCCUGCGGCAGAUUAGCUAGUUGGUAAGGUAAUGGCUUACCAAGGCGACGAUCUGUAACCGGCCUGAGAGGGCGGUCGGUCACACUGACACUGACAUACGGGUCAGACUCCUACGGGAGGCAGCAGUCGGGAAUUUUGGGCAAUGGGCGCAAGCCUGACCCAGCAACGCCGCGUGAAGGAUGAAAUUUUCGGAAUGUAAACUUCGCAAGAACA